AAAGUUACAGCAGUGGAGGUCAAAAAUGCUACUUUAGCCGAAGAUACGGUCUGACCAAAAAGUAAGACUAGGAAUGUGUAAUUCAUAGGUACCCGUGGGACAUGAUGGCCUCAAGACCAUUAUUCUGGUUUGCUGCGGUAUACGAAGUCAUGCUAAUUUAUCACACGAUUCACAUAUGCUCUUGUGCGGACUUGAUGUUUAUGCACUUCAUGAUAACUGCCAGUGAGAGAUUCAAUACUCUCGGGAAAUAUUUGAUGAGAGGUGUGCCUGCGGCAUAUCAAGUGGAAAUCGCGUGUUCAGAGAGAAUAAAUAAUAAUUUACUACUGAUGCAGAAUCAUAUUUUUGAUGACAGACUUAAAAAUCUAGAGGAGGGAAGGCUGAAGAAAGGCAUCGAUGACUAUAACGUUCUUUGGAGGCAUUUGAAUAAUAUUAAGUCCAUAUUUAUGCAAUGGGCCAAUUUCUCAGUUCUGGCUGGAAUGACUACUAUUACAAUGAUGACAUUCGCUGCACUCACUGUGAGUUUUUCAGUGUACAUUUGCUAAAAAUAUACAGACGCAACAUGAUUAGGUUUGAUGUGCUUGCAUUAAACGGGAGUCCGCCUGCGGGCCGAUUAUUGAAACUGACAGACAAAGCGAUAGACAAAGAAGACAUAGGGAGUAUAGAGCGAUCCUAUUGGUUGACAUGGUUGGUUCUUAUAGACUAAGGAAGAAAAUGAUGGACUAACUGUCGGGUCUUUGGUGGGUUGCCGUUAGUUAGUCCAUUACCUACCUCCUGUGUCCAUUGCCACCACCCGCUCCCACCAAUAGGAUCCCUCCAAAUCCCUUUUGUCGUCUUUGUCCAUAACUUUGUCUAUAAGUUUCAAUAAUCGGUCCG
Molecule: long non-coding RNA, 873 nt
Filed under: Bemisia tabaci
Lineage: Eukaryota; Metazoa; Arthropoda; Insecta; Hemiptera; Aleyrodidae
Description: lncRNA ENSSSA1UGG004051
Source: RNAcentral